This 106-nucleotide small nuclear RNA is filed under the name Erinaceus europaeus (western European hedgehog). Its description in RNAcentral is "7SK RNA". It matches the Rfam family "7SK RNA", at positions 1 to 108 of the family's 331-position model. From Rfam's summary of the family: 7SK was discovered as an abundant small nuclear RNA in the mid-70s but a possible function has only recently been suggested. The record is from Rfam by way of RNAcentral. Lineage: Eukaryota; Metazoa; Chordata; Mammalia; Eulipotyphla; Erinaceidae.
GGAUGUGGGGUGAUCAGGCUGCAACAUCUGUCACCCCAAUGAUGGCCAGGUUGUUCUGGCUCAUCUGUCUGGCUAAGAGGAUAUCCCUUUAUUCCCUCACUGCUUC